GAAGUAAAAAGUCUGUAAACAAGAUUUCCGUAGGUGAACCUGCGGAAGGAUCAUUACCGAGUGUAGGGUUCCUAGCGAGCCCAACCUCCCACCCGUGUUUACUGUAACCUUAGUUGCUUCGGCGGGCCCGCCGUUUACGGCCGCCGGGGGGCAUCAGCCCCCGGGCCCGCGCCCGCCGGAGACACCACGAACUCUGUCUGAUCUAGUGAAGUCUGAGUUGAUUGUAUCGCAAUCAGUUAAAACUUUCAACAAUGGAUCUCUUGGUUCCGGCAUCGAUGAAGAACGCAGCGAAAUGCGAUAACUAGUGUGAAUUGCAGAAUUCCGUGAAUCAUCGAGUCUUUGAACGCACAUUGCGCCCCCUGGUAUUCCGGGGGGCAUGCCUGUCCGAGCGUCAUUGCUGCCCAUCAAGCACGGCUUGUGUGUUGGGUCGUCGUCCCCUCUUCGGGGGGGACGGGCCCCAAAGGCAGCGGCGGCACCGCGUCCGAUCCUCGAGCGUAUGGGGCUUUGUCACCCGCUCUGUAGGCCCGGCCGGCGCUUGCCGAACGCAAAACAACCAUUCUUUCCAGGUUGACCUCGGAUCAGGUAGGGAUACCCGCUGAACUUACUGCGGGAA
This 613-nucleotide ribosomal RNA is filed under the name Aspergillus tamarii. RNAcentral's name for it is "eukaryotic LSU rRNA". The stretch from base 241 to 394 matches the Rfam family "5.8S ribosomal RNA". Lineage: Eukaryota; Fungi; Ascomycota; Eurotiomycetes; Eurotiales; Aspergillaceae. The record is from RNAcentral.